UACGUAGGGUGCAAGCGUUGUUCGGAAUUACUGGGCGUAAAGCGCGCGUAGGCGGGCUUGCAAGUCGAUUGUGAAAGCCCUGGGCUUAACCCGGGAAUGGCAGUCGAAACUGCAAGUCUUGAGUGCCUGAGAGGAUGGCGGAAUUCCCGGUGUAGAGGUGAAAUUCGUAGAUAUCGGGAGGAACACCAGUGGCGAAGGCGGCGACCUGGACGGACAUUGACGCUGAGACGCGAAAGCGUGGGGAGCAAACAGG
This 253-nucleotide ribosomal RNA is filed under the name uncultured bacterium. Its description in RNAcentral is "partial 16S ribosomal RNA". It matches the Rfam family "Bacterial small subunit ribosomal RNA", at positions 524 to 776 of the family's 1533-position model. The record is from RNAcentral.